This 656-nucleotide ribosomal RNA is filed under the name Podila humilis. Its description in RNAcentral is "eukaryotic LSU rRNA". It matches the Rfam family "Eukaryotic large subunit ribosomal RNA", at positions 98 to 613 of the family's 3401-position model. Lineage: Eukaryota; Fungi; Mortierellomycota; Mortierellomycetes; Mortierellales; Mortierellaceae. The record is from RNAcentral.
GCGGGAUGAGCUCAAAUUUGAAAUCUGGCUGGUUUACUAGUCCGAGUUGUAAUUUAAAGAAGCGUUUUCGGUGGCAGCCUGGGUAUAAAUCCUUUGGAAUAGGGUAUCAUAGAGGGUGAGAAUCCCGUCUUUGACCUAGUGCAUGCUACUAUGUGAUACGUUUUCAAAGAGUCGAGUUGUUUGGGAAUGCAGCUCAAAAUGGGUGGUAAAUUUCAUCUAAAGCUAAAUAUUGGCGAGAGACCGAUAGCGAACAAGUACCGUGAGGGAAAGAUGAAAAGAACUUUGAAAAGAGAGUUAAACAGUGCGUGAAAUUGUUGAAAGGGAAACGUUUGACACCAGUCAUGUGGGUGGAAAAUCAGUCUUUUGCAUUGGGGAGUUGUAAAGGUUCGGACCGCAAGGCCGGCUUUUGCUUCAUCUUUGGUGUAAGGGAUGCACUUUUUCAUCUACAGGUCAACAUCAGUUUCUUUUGCUGGACAAAACUCCGAGAGAAGGUAGCAGCUUAGGCUGUGUUAUAGCUCUGGAGCGAUACAGUGAAGGGGACUGAGGUUUUCGCAGCGUGUGCUCUCGGGCAAGGCUGGAUGGGUGCUAUGGGAUCGUUCGGGGUACAAUGCCUGGCAUUUUGCUUCGUGUCUUUUCUAUACUCGCUCAACUCAGCU